RNAcentral lists this ribosomal RNA (442 nucleotides) under uncultured bacterium. RNAcentral describes it as "partial 16S ribosomal RNA". It matches the Rfam family "Bacterial small subunit ribosomal RNA", at positions 338 to 795 of the family's 1533-position model. The record is from RNAcentral.
CCUACGGGUGGCAGCAGUGGGGAAUAUUGGGCAAUGGGCGCAAGCCUGACCCAGCAACGCCGCGUGAAGGAAGAAGGCUUUCGGGUUGUAAACUUCUUUUAAGAGGGAAGAGAAGAAGACGGUACCUCUUGAAUAAGCCACGGCUAACUACGUGCCAGCAGCAGCGGUAAUACGUAGGUGGCAAGCGUUGUACGGAUUUACUGGGUGUAAAGGGCGUGCAGCCGGGCUGACAAGUCAGAUGUGAAAUCCCGCGGCUCAACCGCGGAACUGCAUUUGAAAAUGUCAGUAUUGAGUACCGGAGAGGUCAUCGGAAUUCCUUGUGUAGCGGUGAAAUGCGGAGAAAUAAGGAAGAACACCAGUGGCGAAGGCGGAUGACUGGACGGCAACUGACGGUGAGGCGCGAAAGCGUGGGGAGCAAACAGGAUUAGAUACCCGGGUAGUC